RNAcentral lists this ribosomal RNA (433 nucleotides) under uncultured bacterium. RNAcentral describes it as "partial 16S ribosomal RNA". It matches the Rfam family "Bacterial small subunit ribosomal RNA", at positions 29 to 507 of the family's 1533-position model. The record is from RNAcentral.
AACGAACGCUGGCGGCAUGCCUAACACAUGCAAGUCGAACGACACCUUCGUGUCUACUGGCGCACGCGUGCGUCGCGCGUGGGAACCUGCCCUUAGGUUCGGAAUAACACCCCUACAGGGGUGCUAAUACCGGGUAAUUUCUUCGAACCCAAGAUUUAUCGCCCUUGGGUGAGCCGGCGUUGUAUUGGCCUGUUGGUAUGGUAAAAGCCUACCAAGGCGUCGCUACAUAGCUGGGAUGAGAGGAUGAGCAGCCACACUGGGACUGAGACACGGCCCAGACUCUUACGGGAAGCAGCAGUGGGGAAUACUGGAAUAUGGGCGAGAGCCUGAUCCAGCAAUGCCGCGUGAGUGAUGAAGGUGUGAGGGUUGUAAAGCUCUUUUACCCGGGAUGAUAAUGACAGUACCGGGAGAAUAAGCUCCGGCUAACUUCGUG